This is a non-coding RNA of Gossypium hirsutum (cotton), 124 nucleotides long. The record is from Rfam. NCBI's taxonomy places the organism in Eukaryota, Viridiplantae, Streptophyta, Magnoliopsida, Malvales, Malvaceae.
AAUAAUAGAAUGACAAAUUAGAUUUUUUUUCUCAUGAUAUUCAGCUUUUUCUCCUAAAUAAAUUCAAAUCUAACUAAAAAUACUAAAAAUCAGGAGGAAAAAUCAGAUUUGUCAUUCUCCUAUU